Molecule: ribosomal RNA, 520 nt
Filed under: uncultured Entrophospora
Lineage: Eukaryota; Fungi; Glomeromycota; Glomeromycetes; Entrophosporales; Entrophosporaceae
Description: SSU rRNA
Rfam family: Eukaryotic small subunit ribosomal RNA
Source: RNAcentral
AGCAGCCGCGGUAAUUCCAGCUCCAAUAGCGUAUAUUAAAGUUGUUGCAGUUAAAAAGCUCGUAGUUGAAUUUCGGGAUUGGCGCAUCGGUCGUGCCUCACGGGGUAUGAACUGGUGCAGUCAAUUUCUCACCUUCUGGAGAACCGCGAUGUCCUUAAUUGGAUGCCGCGGGGAACCAGGACCUUUACUUUGAAAAAAUUAGAGUGUUUAAAGCAGGCAUUUUUGCUUGAAUACAUUAGCAUGGAAUAAUAAAAUAGGACGGCAUGGUUCUAUUUUGUUGGUUUCUAGGACCACCGUAAUGAUUAAUAGGGAUAGUUGGGGGCAUUAGUAUUCAAUUGUCAGAGGUGAAAUUCUUGGAUUUAUUGAAGACUAACUACUGCGAAAGCAUUUGCCAAGGAUGUUUUCAUUAAUCAAGAACGAAAGUUAGGGGAUCGAAGACGAUCAGAUACCGUCGUAGCCUUAACCAUAAACUAUGCCGACUAGGAAUCAGACGAUGUUAAUUUUUAAUGACUCGUUUGGC